UGUUCUGAAAAAAAAAGAAAAAAAACUCUCUGAAACGGUUCCCAAGUCCUUUGAGCUCCGGCCCUAGGCCGACCGGCUCUGUUCAUCGGACCUCCGCAUUCAUAUCCACGUGCUGUCACCGACUCCGCCCCACACGACGGUCGGAACUUGAAAAGCUUCGCUUUUCAGGGCGAUUCUUAAGGUGAAUCGCGAAGAUUUCGUUCAAGCACCCCUGACCACGUGCUGAUGGGGCUAGUACUGGAUUGUGACGCAUGAUGAUCCCGACGUGAUUCGCGCGCUGAUGGUGGUGCGACGCAUGGUGGCGAAGUUGAAGGGUCACAGCGCUGAUAGAUAGAGCAUUGAUGACCGUCUUAAUUCGGGGAACUGGAUAGUCGCUCCCCGAAGUUUCCAGAAGACGUUGCGGCGCCAGAAGGAAUAGGCAGAAAAC
Gossypium arboreum is the source of this 427-nucleotide long non-coding RNA. RefSeq lists it as uncharacterized. The record is from RefSeq and is a predicted model, not a curated record. The transcript is spliced from 2 exons. Lineage: Eukaryota; Viridiplantae; Streptophyta; Magnoliopsida; Malvales; Malvaceae.